RNAcentral lists this ribosomal RNA (1164 nucleotides) under Paenibacillus sp. RNAcentral describes it as "bacterial SSU rRNA". It matches the Rfam family "Bacterial small subunit ribosomal RNA", at positions 34 to 1146 of the family's 1533-position model. Lineage: Bacteria; Bacillati; Bacillota; Bacilli; Caryophanales; Paenibacillaceae. The record is from RNAcentral.
CGAAGUGCGGCAUGCCUAAUACAUGCAAGUCGAGCGGAGUUGGAUGAGAAGCUUGCUUCUCUUGAUGCGUUAGCGGCGGACGGGUGAGUAACACGUAGGCAACCUGCCCUCAAGUUUGGGACAACUACCGGAAACGGUAGCUAAUACCGAAUAAUUGUUUUCUUCGCCUGAAGGAAACUGGAAAGACGGAGCAAUCUGUCACUUGGGGAUGGGCCUGCGGCGCAUUAGCUAGUUGGUGAGGUAACGGCUCACCAAGGCGACGAUGCGUAGCCGACCUGAGAGGGUGAUCGGCCACACUGGGACUGAGACACGGCCCAGACUCCUACGGGAGGCAGCAGUAGGGAAUCUUCCGCAAUGGGCGAAAGCCUGACGGAGCAAUGCCGCGUGAGUGAUGAAGGUUUUCGGAUCGUAAAGCUCUGUUGCCAGGGAAGAACGCUUGGGAGAGUAACUGCUCUCAAGGUGACGGUACCUGAGAAGAAAGCCCCGGCUAACUACGUGCCAGCAGCCGCGGUAAUACGUAGGGGGCAAGCGUUGUCCGGAAUUAUUGGGCGUAAAGCGCGCGCAGGCGGUCAUUUAAGUCUGGUGUUUAAUCCCGGGGCUCAACCCCGGAUCGCACUGGAAACUGGGUGACUUGAGUGCAGAAGAGGAGAGUGGAAUUCCACGUGUAGCGGUGAAAUGCGUAGAUAUGUGGAGGAACACCAGUGGCGAAGGCGACUCUCUGGGCUGUAACUGACGCUGAGGCGCGAAAGCGUGGGGAGCAAACAGGAUUAGAUACCCUGGUAGUCCACGCCGUAAACGAUGAGUGCUAGGUGUUAGGGGUUUCGAUACCCUUGGUGCCGAAGUUAACACAUUAAGCACUCCGCCUGGGGGAGUACGGUCGCAAGACUGAAAACUCAAAGGAAUUGACGGGGGACCCGCACAAGCAGUGGAAGUAUGUGGGUUUAAUUCGAAAGCAACGCGGAAAAACCUUUACCAGGGUCUUGGACAUCCCUACUGACCGGGUACAGAAGAUGUACCUUUUUCCUUCGGGAACAUUAGGAAAACAGGGUUGGUGCCAUGGGUUGUUCCGUCAGCCUCCUGGUCCUGGAGAAUGUUUGGGGUUUAAAUUCCCCGCAAACGAAGCGGCAACCCCUUUAUAUUUUAAUUUUGCCCACCCACUUUUCA